GACGAACGCUGGCGGCGUGCCUAAUACAUGCAAGUUGAGCGAUGAAGAUUGGUGCUUGCACCCAUUUGAAGAGCAGCGAACGGGUGAGUAACGCGUGGGGAAUCUGCCUUUGAGCGGGGGACAACAUUUGGAAACGAAUGCUAAUACCGCAUAACAACUUUAAACAUAAGUUUUAAGUUUGAAAGAUGCAAUUGCAUCACUCAAAGAUGAUCCCGCGUUGUAUUAGCUAGUUGGUGAGGUAAAGGCUCACCAAGGCGAUGAUACAUAGCCGACCUGAGAGGGUGAUCGGCCACAUUGGGACUGGGACACGGCCCAAACUCCUACGGGAGGCAGCAGUAGGGAAUCUUCGGCAAUGGACGAAAGUCUUACCGAGCAACGCCGCGUGAGUGAAGAAGGUUUUCGGAUCGUAAAACUCUGUUGGUAGAGAAGAACGUUGGUGAGAGUGGAAAGCUCAUCAAGUGACGGUAACUACCCAGAAAGGGACGGCUAACUACGUG
RNAcentral lists this ribosomal RNA (497 nucleotides) under uncultured bacterium. Its description in RNAcentral is "partial 16S ribosomal RNA". It matches the Rfam family "Bacterial small subunit ribosomal RNA", at positions 28 to 507 of the family's 1533-position model. The record is from RNAcentral.